Molecule: ribosomal RNA, 253 nt
Filed under: uncultured bacterium
Lineage: Bacteria
Description: partial 16S ribosomal RNA
Rfam family: Bacterial small subunit ribosomal RNA
Source: RNAcentral
UACGUAGGGUGCGAGCGUUGUCCGGAAUUAUUGGGCGUAAAGAGCUUGUAGGCGGUCUGUCGCGUCUGCUGUGAAAAUCCGGGGCUCAACCCCGGACUUGCAGUGGGUACGGGCAGACUAGAGUGUGGUAGGGGAGACUGGAAUUCCUGGUGUAGCGGUGAAAUGCGCAGAUAUCAGGAGGAACACCGAUGGCGAAGACAGGUCUCUGGGCCGUAACUGACGCUGAGGUGCGAGAGCGUGGGGAGCGAACCGG